AAGCCAUUAUGCGGGAAAUCUCUUUACCAGCCUUUUAAACCUCGCCCAGGCAUCAUUGAGCAAUUCGUCAAUAUCCUGUUCAAAAUUGGUAAUCAGCUUCCUUAUUCU
Small nucleolar RNA from Benincasa hispida (wax gourd), 108 nucleotides. The record is from RefSeq and is a predicted model, not a curated record. Lineage: Eukaryota; Viridiplantae; Streptophyta; Magnoliopsida; Cucurbitales; Cucurbitaceae.